AGAGCGAACGCUGGCGGCAGGCCUAACACAUGCAAGUCGAACGGACCUUCGGGUCUAGUGGCGCACGGGUGCGUAACGCGUGGGAAUCUGCCCUUGGGUUCGGAAUAACAGCGAGAAAUUGCUGCUAAUACCGGAUGAUGACGAAAGUCCAAAGAUUUAUCGCCAAGGGAUGAACCCGCGUAGGAUUAGCUAGUUGGUGAGGUAAAGGCUCACCAAGGCAACGAUCCUUAGCUGGUCUGAGAGGAUGAUCAGCCACACUGGGACUGAGACACGGCCCAGACUCCGUACGGGAGGCAGCGAGUGGGGUAAUUUGGACAAGUCGGGGGAAACCCUGAUCCAGCCAUCCCGCGUGUGCGAGUGAACGGCCGUUCGGGUAGUAAAGUCGUACGUUUGGCGUAGGGAAGAACGG
RNAcentral lists this ribosomal RNA (409 nucleotides) under uncultured soil bacterium. Its description in RNAcentral is "bacterial SSU rRNA". It matches the Rfam family "Bacterial small subunit ribosomal RNA", at positions 26 to 454 of the family's 1533-position model. The record is from RNAcentral.